AAUAAGUGCAGUUUUACACUGUUCAUAUCUAAUGUUUGACCAUUCGUCUUAUUUGAAAUUUUUUUACGAUUAAUAUUUUUAUUGUUACUAGAUGAUAAAACAUGAAUAGUACUUUAUGUGUGACUAACUUUUUUUAAUUUUCUCAUAAAUUUUUCAAAUAAGACGGACGGUUAAAUGUUGAACACAGAUUUCCACGGCUGCACUUAUU
Oryza sativa Japonica Group (Japanese rice) is the source of this 208-nucleotide microRNA precursor. It matches the Rfam family "MIR812 microRNA precursor family". Lineage: Eukaryota; Viridiplantae; Streptophyta; Magnoliopsida; Poales; Poaceae. The record is from Rfam.